GGAAAUGCUCCGGGAACACCUUCUCCUCGUGCUGCUGAGUUUAGCAUUGUUGCACGGCCCAAAUUUUCAGUGAGGCAUGGGGUUUUGCCAGUGGAUAAGCUUCUCAACUGAUGGCGCUUCAUUUUGGCCCUGGUAUUUUAUCAUACGGUUCUGGGAGGCGGUGGGGUUACGGAAUCAAGACAAGGGUGGAAGGCCAGGGAGAGAUGGGCUAUGCACAGACAAUUACAGUGGGCUCAAAACCCCAGAACAUUUACCUUUUCCAACUGAAUGACUCUAUAAAAUGGACACCUGCCAUGUUCCUAG
RNAcentral lists this long non-coding RNA (303 nucleotides) under Homo sapiens (human). RNAcentral's name for it is "non-protein coding lnc-ATG4C-4:1". Lineage: Eukaryota; Metazoa; Chordata; Mammalia; Primates; Hominidae. The record is from RNAcentral.